CCUACGGGCGGCAGCAGUGAGGAAUAUUGGUCAAUGGCCGAGAGGCUGAACCAGCCAAGUCGCGUGAGGGAAGACGGCCCUACGGGUUGUAAACCUCUUUUGUCGGGGAGCAAAGCGAACCACGUGUGGUUCAUUGAGAGUAACCGAAGAAAAAGCAUCGGCUAAAUCCGGGCCAGCAGCCGCGGUAAUACGGAGGAUGCGAGCGUUAUCCGGAGUUAUUGGGUGUAAAGGGUGCGCAGGCGGGGGUGAAAGUCAGCGGUCAAAUUGCGGAGCUCAACCCCGUACUGCCGUUGAAACUGCAUCCCUUGAGUGCGCGAGAAGUAUGCGGAAUGCGUGGUGUAGCGGUGAAAUGCAUAGAUAUCACGCAGAACUCCGAUUGCGAAGGCAGCAUACCGGCGCGCAACUGACGCUCAUGCACGAAAGCGUGGGUAUCGAACAGGAUUAGAUACCCGAGUAGUC
RNAcentral lists this ribosomal RNA (459 nucleotides) under uncultured bacterium. Its description in RNAcentral is "partial 16S ribosomal RNA". It matches the Rfam family "Bacterial small subunit ribosomal RNA", at positions 338 to 795 of the family's 1533-position model. The record is from RNAcentral.